This 391-nucleotide ribosomal RNA is filed under the name uncultured bacterium. Its description in RNAcentral is "bacterial SSU rRNA". It matches the Rfam family "Bacterial small subunit ribosomal RNA", at positions 29 to 417 of the family's 1533-position model. The record is from RNAcentral.
ACGAACGCUGGCGGCGUGCUUAACACAUGCAAGUCGAGCGGUAAGGCCCCUUCGGGGGUACACGAGCGGCGAACGGGUGAGUAACACGUGGGUGACCUGCCCUCAGCUCUGGGAUAAGCCUGGGGAAACUGGGUCUAAUACCGGAUAUGACUCCAUGACGCAUGUCGUGGGGUGGAAAGGCCUUGUGCGGCUGGGGGAUGGGCCCGCGGCCUAUCAGCUUGUUGGUGGGGUGAUGGCCACCAAGGCGACGACGGGUAGCCGGCCUGAGAGGGCGACCGGCCACACUGGGGACUGAGACACGGCCCAGGACUCCUACGGGAGGCAGCAGUGGGGAAUCUUGCGCAAUGGGCGAAAGCCUGACGCAGCGACGCCGCGUGAGGGAUGACGGCCU